Molecule: ribosomal RNA, 255 nt
Filed under: uncultured bacterium
Lineage: Bacteria
Description: partial 16S ribosomal RNA
Rfam family: Bacterial small subunit ribosomal RNA
Source: RNAcentral
GACAGAGGGUGCAAACGUUGUUCGGAAUUACUGGGCGUAAAGCGCGUGUAGGCGGUCAUGCAAGUCGGGUGUGAAAGCCCGGGGCUCAACCCCGGAAGUGCAUUCGAUACUGCGUGGCUAGAGUACUGGAGAGGAUGGUGGAACUCUGGGUGUAGAGGUGAAAUUCGUAGAUAUCCAGAAGAACACCGGUGGCGAAGGCGGCCAUCUGGACAGAUACUGACGUGAGACGCGAAAAGCGUGGGGGAGCAAAACAGG